Molecule: ribosomal RNA, 592 nt
Filed under: Listeria monocytogenes
Lineage: Bacteria; Bacillati; Bacillota; Bacilli; Caryophanales; Listeriaceae
Description: bacterial SSU rRNA
Rfam family: Bacterial small subunit ribosomal RNA
Source: RNAcentral
AUUCGAAGCAACGCGAAGAACCUUACCAGGUCUUGACAUCCUUUGACCACUCUAGAGAUAGAGCUUCCCCUUCGGGGGCAAAGUGACAGGUGGUGCAUGGUUGUCGUCAGCUCGUGUCGUGAGAUGUUGGGUUAAGUCCCGCAACGAGCGCAACCCUUAUUGUUAGUUGCCAUCAUUUAGUUGGGCACUCUAGCGAGACUGCCGGUGACAAACCGGAGGAAGGUGGGGAUGACGUCAAAUCAUCAUGCCCCUUAUGACCUGGGCUACACACGUGCUACAAUGGGAAGUACAACGAGUUGCGAAGUCGCGAGGCUAAGCUAAUCUCUUAAAGCUUCUCUCAGUUCGGAUUGUAGGCUGCAACUCGCCUACAUGAAGCCGGAAUCGCUAGUAAUCGCGGAUCAGCACGCCGCGGUGAAUACGUUCCCGGGCCUUGUACACACCGCCCGUCACACCACGAGAGUUUGUAACACCCGAAGUCGGUGAGGUAACCUUUUUGGAGCCAGCCGCCUAAGGUGGGAUAGAUGAUUGGGGUGAAGUCGUAACAAGGUAGCCGUAUCGGAAGGUGCGGCUGGAUCACCUCCUUUCUAAGGAA